RNAcentral lists this ribosomal RNA (2267 nucleotides) under Salmonella enterica. RNAcentral's name for it is "partial 23S ribosomal RNA". It matches the Rfam family "Bacterial large subunit ribosomal RNA", at positions 636 to 2802 of the family's 2925-position model. Lineage: Bacteria; Pseudomonadati; Pseudomonadota; Gammaproteobacteria; Enterobacterales; Enterobacteriaceae. The record is from RNAcentral.
UGUAGCAAGGUUAACCGUAUAGGGGAGCCGUAGGGAAACCGAGUCUUAACCGGGCGUUAAGUUGCAGGGUAUAGACCCGAAACCCGGUGAUCUAGCCAUGGGCAGGUUGAAGGUUGGGUAACACUAACUGGAGGACCGAACCGACUAAUGUUGAAAAAUUAGCGGAUGACCUGUGGCUGGGGGUGAAAGGCCAAUCAAACCGGGAGAUAGCUGGUUCUCCCCGAAAGCUAUUUAGGUAGCGCCUCGUGAAUUCAUCUCCGGGGGUAGAGCACUGUUUCGGCUAGGGGGCCAUCCCGGCUUACCAACCCGAUGCAAACUGCGAAUACCGGAGAAUGUUAUCACGGGAGACACACGGCGGGUGCUAACGUCCGUCGUGAAGAGGGAAACAACCCAGACCGCCAGCUAAGGUCCCAAAGUCAUGGUUAAGUGGGAAACGAUGUGGGAAGGCCCAGACAGCCAGGAUGUUGGCUUAGAAGCAGCCAUCAUUUAAAGAAAGCGUAAUAGCUCACUGGUCGAGUCGGCCUGCGCGGAAGAUGUAACGGGGCUAAACCAUGCACCGAAGCUGCGGCAGCGAACGUAUCACCCAAGACAACUUUACGGAGUUGACGAUUGACGGAGCGAAGCGACGUCAAAGCGUUCAUUAAAGUCGAGUUGGCUUAGGGAUACGUUCGUUGGGUAGGGGAGCGUUCUGUAAGCCUGUGAAGGUGUGUCGUGAGGCAUGCUGGAGGUAUCAGAAGUGCGAAUGCUGACAUAAGUAACGAUAAAGCGGGUGAAAAGCCCGCUCGCCGGAAGACCAAGGGUUCCUGUCCAACGUUAAUCGGGGCAGGGUGAGUCGACCCCUAAGGCGAGGCCGAAAGGCGUAGUCGAUGGGAAACGGGUUAAUAUUCCCGUACUUGGUGUUACUGCGAAGGGGGGACGGAGAAGGCUAUGUUGGCCGGGCGACGGUUGUCCCGGUUUAAGCGUGUAGGUGUGUGUUCCAGGUAAAUCCGGUUCACUUUAACACUGAGGCGUGACGACGAGGCACUACGGUGCUGAAGCAACAAAUGCCCUGCUUCCAGGAAAAGCCUCUAAGCAUCAGGUAACACGAAAUCGUACCCCAAACCGACACAGGUGGUCAGGUAGAGAAUACCAAGGCGCUUGAGAGAACUCGGGUGAAGGAACUAGGCAAAAUGGUGCCGUAACUUCGGGAGAAGGCACGCUGACACGUAGGUGAAGUGAUUUACUCAUGGAGCUGAAGUCAGUCGAAGAUACCAGCUGGCUGCAACUGUUUAUUAAAAACACAGCACUGUGCAAACACGAAAGUGGACGUAUACGGUGUGACGCCUGCCCGGUGCCGGAAGGUUAAUUGAUGGGGUCAGCGUAAGCGAAGCUCCUGAUCGAAGCCCCGGUAAACGGCGGCCGUAACUAUAACGGUCCUAAGGUAGCGAAAUUCCUUGUCGGGUAAGUUCCGACCUGCACGAAUGGCGUAAUGAUGGCCAGGCUGUCUCCACCCGAGACUCAGUGAAAUUGAACUCGCUGUGAAGAUGCAGUGUACCCGCGGCAAGACGGAAAGACCCCGUGAACCUUUACUAUAGCUUGACACUGAACAUUGAGCCUUGAUGUGUAGGAUAGGUGGGAGGCUUUGAAGUGUGGACGCCAGUCUGCAUGGAGCCGACCUUGAAAUACCACCCUUUAAUGUUUGAUGUUCUAACGUGGACCCGUAAUCCGGGUUGCGGACAGUGUCUGGUGGGUAGUUUGACUGGGGCGGUCUCCUCCUAAAGAGUAACGGAGGAGCACGAAGGUUGGCUAAUCCUGGUCGGACAUCAGGAGGUUAGUGCAAUGGCAUAAGCCAGCUUGACUGCGAGCGUGACGGCGCGAGCAGGUGCGAAAGCAGGUCAUAGUGAUCCGGUGGUUCUGAAUGGAAGGGCCAUCGCUCAACGGAUAAAAGGUACUCCGGGGAUAACAGGCUGAUACCGCCCAAGAGUUCAUAUCGACGGCGGUGUUUGGCACCUCGAUGUCGGCUCAUCACAUCCUGGGGCUGAAGUAGGUCCCAAGGGUAUGGCUGUUCGCCAUUUAAAGUGGUACGCGAGCUGGGUUUAGAACGUCGUGAGACAGUUCGGUCCCUAUCUGCCGUGGGCGCUGGAGAACUGAGGGGGGCUGCUCCUAGUACGAGAGGACCGGAGUGGACGCAUCACUGGUGUUCGGGUUGUCAUGCCAAUGGCACUGCCCGGUAGCUAAAUGCGGAAGAGAUAAGUGCUGAAAGCAUCUAAGCACGAAACUUGCCCCGA